RNAcentral lists this ribosomal RNA (253 nucleotides) under uncultured bacterium. RNAcentral describes it as "partial 16S ribosomal RNA". It matches the Rfam family "Bacterial small subunit ribosomal RNA", at positions 524 to 776 of the family's 1533-position model. The record is from RNAcentral.
UACGUAGGGUGCAAGCGUUGUCCGGAAUUAUUGGGCGUAAAGAGCUCGUAGGCGGUCUGUCGCGUCGGAUGUGAAAACCCAGGGCUCAACCCUGGGCCUGCAUUCGAUACGGGCAGACUAGAGUUCGGUAGGGGAGACUGGAAUUCCUGGUGUAGCGGUGAAAUGCGCAGAUAUCAAGAGGAACACCGGUGGCGAAGGCGGGUCUCUGGGCCGAAACUGACGCUGAGGAGCGAAAGCGUGGGGAGCAAACAGG